AACGAACGCUGGCGGCAUGCCUAACACAUGCAAGUCGAACGAGACCUUCGGGUCUAGUGGCGCACGGGUGCGUAACGCGUGGGAAUCUGCCCUUGGGUUCGGAAUAACAGUUGGAAACGACUGCUAAUACCGGAUGAUGACGUAAGUCCAAAGAUUUAUCGCCCAAGGAUGAGCCCGCGUAGGAUUAGCUAGUUGGUGAGGUAAAGGCUCACCAAGGCGACGAUCCUUAGCUGGUCUGAGAGGAUGAUCAGCCACACUGGGACUGAGACACGGCCCAGACUCCUACGGAGGCAGCAGUGGGGAAUAUUGGACAAUGGGCGAAAGCCUGAUCCAGCAAUGCCGCGUGAGUGAUGAAGGCCUUAGGGUUGUAAAGCUCUUUUACCUAGGGAAGAUGAUGACUGUACCUGGAGAAUAAGCCCCGGCUAACUUCGUGCCAGCAGCCGCGGUAAU
This 450-nucleotide ribosomal RNA is filed under the name uncultured bacterium. Its description in RNAcentral is "bacterial SSU rRNA". It matches the Rfam family "Bacterial small subunit ribosomal RNA", at positions 29 to 524 of the family's 1533-position model. The record is from RNAcentral.